RNAcentral lists this ribosomal RNA (468 nucleotides) under uncultured bacterium. RNAcentral describes it as "partial 16S ribosomal RNA". It matches the Rfam family "Bacterial small subunit ribosomal RNA", at positions 28 to 507 of the family's 1533-position model. The record is from RNAcentral.
GACGAACGCUGGCGGCGUGCUUAACACAUGCAAGUCGAACGGAAAGGCCCUGCUUUUGUGGGGUGCUCGAGUGGCGAACGGGUGAGUAACACGUGAGUAACCUGCCCUUGACUUUGGGAUAACUUCAGGAAACUGGGGCUAAUACCGGAUAGGAGCUCCUGCUGCAUGGUGGGGGUUGGAAAGUUUCGGCGGUUGGGGAUGGACUCGCGGCUUAUCAGCUUGUUGGUGGGGUAGUGGCUUACCAAGGCUUUGACGGGUAGCCGGCCUGAGAGGGUGACCGGCCACAUUGGGACUGCGAUACGGCCCAGUCUCCUACGGGAGGCAGCAGUGGGGAAUAUUGCACAAUGGGCGGAAGCCUGAUGCAGCAACGCCGCGUGCGGGAUGACGGCCUUCGGGUUGUAAACCGCUUUCGCCUGUGCCGAAGCGUGAGUGACGGUAAUGGGUAAAGAAGCACCGGCUAACUACGUG